CCACCACCAAAGCAUUCUCUGGUGUUGAAGGCCCUGCAAAGCAGCAUCGCGGUGGCGGAGCGUCGUUUGCGACGCCCAACACACAAAACAAGCGGUGAGUGCUUUGGGGUGGGGUGACUGCGUACCUUUUGUAUAAUGGGUCAGCGACUUAUAUUCUGUAGCAAGGUUAACCGUAUAGGGGAGCCGUAGGGAAACCGAGUCUUAACCGGGCGUUAAGUUGCAGGGUAUAGACCCGAAACCCGGUGAUCUAGCCAUGGGCAGGUUGAAGGUUGGGUAACACUAACUGGAGGACCGAACCGACUAAUGUUGAAAAAUUAGCGGAUGACCUGUGGCUGGGGGUGAAAGGCCAAUCAAACCGGGAGAUAGCUGGUUCUCCCCGAAAGCUAUUUAGGUAGCGCCUCGUGAAUUCAUCUCCGGGGGUAGAGCACUGUUUCGGCUAGGGGGCCAUCCCGGCUUACCAACCCGAUGCAAACUGCGAAUACCGGAGAAUGUUAUCACGGGAGACACACGGCGGGUGCUAACGUCCGUCGUGAAGAGGGAAACAACCCAGACCGCCAGCUAAGGUCCCAAAGUCAUGGUUAAGUGGGAAACGAUGUGGGAAGGCCCAGACAGCCAGGAUGUUGGCUUAGAAGCAGCCAUCAUUUAAAGAAAGCGUAAUAGCUCACUGGUCGAGUCGGCCUGCGCGGAAGAUGUAACGGGGCUAAACCAUGCACCGAAGCUGCGGCAGCGACGCUGAUGCGUUGUUGGGUAGGGGAGCGUUCUGUAAGCCUGUGAAGGUGGCCUGUGAGGGUUGCUGGAGGUAUCAGAAGUGCGAAUGCUGACAUAAGUAACGAUAAAGCGGGUGAAAAGCCCGCUCGCCGGAAGACCAAGGGUUCCUGUCCAACGUUAAUCGGGGCAGGGUGAGUCGACCCCUAAGGCGAGGCCGAAAGGCGUAGUCGAUGGGAAACGGGUUAAUAUUCCCGUACUUGGUGUUACUGCGAAGGGGGGACGGAGAAGGCUAUGUUGGCCGGGCGACGGUUGUCCCGGUUUAAGCGUGUAGGUGUGUGUUCCAGGUAAAUCCGGUUCACUUUAACACUGAGGCGUGAUGACGAGGCACUACGGUGCUGAAGCAACAAAUGCCCUGCUUCCAGGAAAAGCCUCUAAGCAUCAGGUAACAUCAAAUCGUACCCCAAACCGACACAGGUGGUCAGGUAGAGAAUACCAAGGCGCUUGAGAGAACUCGGGUGAAGGAACUAGGCAAAAUGGUGCCGUAACUUCGGGAGAAGGCACGCUGACACGUAGGUGAAGUGAUUUACUCAUGGAGCUGAAGUCAGUCGAAGAUACCAGCUGGCUGCAACUGUUUAUUAAAAACACAGCACUGUGCAAACACGAAAGUGGACGUAUACGGUGUGACGCCUGCCCGGUGCCGGAAGGUUAAUUGAUGGGGUCAGCGCAAGCGAAGCUCCUGAUCGAAGCCCCGGUAAACGGCGGCCGUAACUAUAACGGUCCUAAGGUAGCGAAAUUCCUUGUCGGGUAAGUUCCGACCUGCACGAAUGGCGUAAUGAUGGCCAGGCUGUCUCCACCCGAGACUCAGUGAAAUUGAACUCGCUGUGAAGAUGCAGUGUACCCGCGGCAAGACGGAAAGACCCCGUGAACCUUUACUAUAGCUUGACACUGAACAUUGAGCCUUGAUGUGUAGGAUAGGUGGGAGGCUUUGAAGCGUGGACGCCAGUCUGCAUGGAGCCGGCCUUGAAAUACCACCCUUUAAUGUUUGAUGUUCUAACGUGGACCCGUGAUCCGGGUUGCGGACAGUGUCUGGUGGGUAGUUUGACUGGGGCGGUCUCCUCCUAAAGAGUAACGGAGGAGCACGAAGGUUGGCUAAUCCUGGUCGGACAUCAGGAGGUUAGUGCAAUGGCAUAAGCCAGCUUGACUGCGAGCGUGACGGCGCGAGCAGGUGCGAAAGCAGGUCAUAGUGAUCCGGUGGUUCUGAAUGGAAGGGCCAUCGCUCAACGGAUAAAAGGUACUCCGGGGAUAACAGGCUGAUACCGCCCAAGAGUUCAUAUCGACGGCGGUGUUUGGCACCUCGAUGUCGGCUCAUCACAUCCUGGGGCUGAAGUAGGUCCCAAGGGUAUGGCUGUUCGCCAUUUAAAGUGGUACGCGAGCUGGGUUUAGAACGUCGUGAGACAGUUCGGUCCCUAUCUGCCGUGGGCGCUGGAGAACUGAGGGGGGCUGCUCCUAGUACGAGAGGACCGGAGUGGACGCAUCACUGGUGUUCGGGUUGUCAUGCCAAUGGCACUGCCCGGUAGCUAAAUGCGGAAGAGAUAAGUGCUGAAAGCAUCUAAGCACGAAACUUGCCCCGAGAUGAGUUCUCCCUGAGACUUAGAGUCUCCUGAAGGAACGUUGAAGACGACGACGUUGAUAGGCCGGGUGUGUAAGCGCAGCGAUGCGUUGAGCUAACCGGUACUAAUGAACCGUGAGGCUUAACCUUACAACGCCGAAG
This 2479-nucleotide ribosomal RNA is filed under the name Salmonella enterica subsp. enterica. Its description in RNAcentral is "partial 23S ribosomal RNA". It matches the Rfam family "Bacterial large subunit ribosomal RNA". Lineage: Bacteria; Pseudomonadati; Pseudomonadota; Gammaproteobacteria; Enterobacterales; Enterobacteriaceae. The record is from RNAcentral.